Molecule: ribosomal RNA, 253 nt
Filed under: uncultured bacterium
Lineage: Bacteria
Description: partial 16S ribosomal RNA
Rfam family: Bacterial small subunit ribosomal RNA
Source: RNAcentral
UACGUAGGUGGCAAGCGUUGUCCGGAUUUAUUGGGCGUAAAGCGCGCGCAGGCGGUCCUUUAAGUCUGAUGUGAAAUCUCGCGGCUCAACCGCGAGCGGUCAUUGGAAACUGGGGGACUUGAGUGCAGAAGAGAAGAGCGGAAUUCCACGUGUAGCGGUGAAAUGCGUAGAGAUGUGGAGGAACACCAGUGGCGAAGGCGGCUCUUUGGUCUGUAACUGACGCUGAGGCGCGAAAGCGUGGGGAGCGAACAGG